UACGUAGGGUCCGAGCGUUGUCCGGAAUUACUGGGCGUAAAGAGCUCGUAGGUGGUUUGUCGCGUUGUCCGUGAAAACUCACAGCUCAACUGUGGGCGUGCGGGCGAUACGGGCAGACUGGAGUACUGCAGGGGAGACUGGAAUUCCUGGUGUAGCGGUGGAAUGCGCAGAUAUCAGGAGGAACACCGGUGGCGAAGGCGGGUCUCUGGGCAGUAACUGACGCUGAGGAGCGAACGCGUGGGGAGCGAACAGG
This 253-nucleotide ribosomal RNA is filed under the name uncultured bacterium. RNAcentral's name for it is "partial 16S ribosomal RNA". It matches the Rfam family "Bacterial small subunit ribosomal RNA", at positions 524 to 776 of the family's 1533-position model. The record is from RNAcentral.